GACGAACGCUGGCGGCGUGCUUAACACAUGCAAGUCGAGCGGAAAGGCCCUGCUUUUGUGGGGUGCUCGAGUGGCGAACGGGUGAGUAACACGUGAGUAACCUGCCCUUGACUUUGGGAUAACUUCAGGAAACUGGGGCUAAUACCGGAUAGGAGCUCCUGCUGCAUGGUGGGGGUUGGAAAGUUUCGGCGGUUGGGGAUGGACUCGCGGCUUAUCAGCUUGUUGGUGGGGUAGUGGCUUACCAAGGCUUUGACGGGUAGCCGGCCUGAGAGGGUGACCGGCCACAUUGGGACUGGGAUACGGCCCAGACUCCUACGGGAGGCAGCAGUGGGGAAUAUUGCACAAUGGGCGGCAGCCUGAUGCAGCAACGCCGCGUGCGGGAUGACGGCCUUCGGGUUGUAAACCGCUUUCGCCUGUGACGAAGCGUGAGUGACGGUAAUGGGUAAAGAAGCACCGGCUAACUACGUG
This 468-nucleotide ribosomal RNA is filed under the name uncultured bacterium. RNAcentral's name for it is "partial 16S ribosomal RNA". It matches the Rfam family "Bacterial small subunit ribosomal RNA", at positions 28 to 507 of the family's 1533-position model. The record is from RNAcentral.